GACGAACGCUGGCGGCGUGCUUAACACAUGCAAGUCGAACGGAAAGGCCUGCUUUCCCUUGUGGAUUGCGGGUACUCGAGUGGCGAACGGGUGAGUAACACGUGAGUGAUCUGCCCCCAACUUGGGUAUAAGCCUGGGAAACUGGGUCUAAUUCCCGAUAGGACUGCAGGGUGGUGCCUGUGGUGGAAAACGAUUUUCUAGUGGUUGGGGAUGAGCUCGCGGCCUAUCAGCUUGUUGGUGGGGUAAUGGCCUACCAAGGCGGCGACGGUAGCCGGCCUGAGAGGGUGGACGGCCACAUUGGGACUGAGAUACGGCCCAGACUCCUACGGGAGGCAGCAGUGGGGAAUAUUGCACAAUGGGCGGAAGCCUGAUGCAGCGACGCCGCGUGGGGGAUGACGGCCUUCGGGUUGUAAACUCCUUUCGACCGCGAGGAAGCCACCUGGUUGGAAGGGUGGUGACGGUAGUGGUAGAAGAAGCACCGGCUAACUACGUG
Molecule: ribosomal RNA, 493 nt
Filed under: uncultured bacterium
Lineage: Bacteria
Description: partial 16S ribosomal RNA
Rfam family: Bacterial small subunit ribosomal RNA
Source: RNAcentral